RNAcentral lists this unclassified non-coding RNA (278 nucleotides) under Hevea brasiliensis (rubber tree). The record is from RNAcentral. Lineage: Eukaryota; Viridiplantae; Streptophyta; Magnoliopsida; Malpighiales; Euphorbiaceae.
GCGCUAUGGCAUCGGUGUCGGCAAGCCCGGCUUCGAGUGGUCGGGUGUGAAGACGAUCUCGGCAAAGAAGGAGUGGCCGGCAUGGACGCCGCCGCCGGAAAUGCUCAAGCGCCGUCCUGAUCUGCCGCGCCACAUGGAAGGCGGUCCGGAAAAUCCGCUCGGCGCCCGCGCAAUGUAUCUCGGCUCGACGCUGUACCGCAUUCACGGNNNNNNNNNNACCAUCGGCACUGCGGUGUCGUCGGGCUGUAUCCGGAUGCGCAAUGAAGACGUGAUUGAUC